AAUCAACGCUGGCGGCGUGCCUCAGACAUGCAAGUCGAACGCGAAAGUUUCCUUCGGGAAGCGAGUAGAGUGGCGCACGGGUGAGUAACACGUAAGUAAUCUACCCUUGGGUGGGAAGUAACAUCGGGAACCGAUGCUAAUACCGCAUAAUGCAGCGGCUUCUUAUGAAGACAGUUGUUAAAGCAUUUAUGUGCCUGAGGAGGAGCUUGCGGCAGAUUAGCUAGNGGUUAAGGUAAUGGCUUACCAAGGCGACGAUCUGUAGCCGACCUGAGAGGGUGGUCGGUCACACUGACACUGAAUAACGGGUCAGACUCCUACGGGAGGCAGCAGUCGGGGAAUUUUGGGCAAUGGGCGAAAGCCUGACCCAGCAACGCCGCGUGAAGGA
RNAcentral lists this ribosomal RNA (385 nucleotides) under uncultured bacterium. RNAcentral describes it as "bacterial SSU rRNA". It matches the Rfam family "Bacterial small subunit ribosomal RNA", at positions 32 to 408 of the family's 1533-position model. The record is from RNAcentral.